RNAcentral lists this unclassified non-coding RNA (203 nucleotides) under Hevea brasiliensis (rubber tree). The record is from RNAcentral. Lineage: Eukaryota; Viridiplantae; Streptophyta; Magnoliopsida; Malpighiales; Euphorbiaceae.
GGGAAGUACAAGUCCCUAGUGAUACGCCAAAAGCUGAAAGGAAGGAAGACAUAGAUGCUGCACAAGAUACUCAAGUUAAAGAAAGAGAAGAGGAGAAGGUAAAGUCUCCUGAAGUUUCCACAGUUGUAUCCAAGACAGCCCAGGCUGAGGACAUUGAAAGUGAAUUGCAUGAACAUCAUGAAGAUGAAAAUAAACAAGAGGGA